Trichechus manatus latirostris (Florida manatee) is the source of this 5413-nucleotide RNA transcript. It is a transcript of the gene named HPS5 biogenesis of lysosomal organelles complex 2 subunit 2, with no coding region annotated. The record is from RefSeq and is a predicted model, not a curated record. The transcript has 23 exons. NCBI's taxonomy places the organism in Eukaryota, Metazoa, Chordata, Mammalia, Sirenia, Trichechidae.
UACUCUGUCCUAUGGGGUCGCUGUGAGUCAGAAACAACUUUAUGGCAAUAGGUUUUUUUGGUUUAUCCCUGUUAAACUGUUAGCUGUAACUACAGUAUUCCCUUAUAAGGACUUACAGUUUGAGGCCUUUACAGAAAAUUGCAUUUUAAUGAAAGACUCAUAAAGACAGAAGAAGCUUUGCAACUCAGAGAAAUGUAGCAGGAUUGCUGUUUUACAGCAGAAGGACUUGGGCAAGUCCCCUGUUAAAUUCUGCCAUAUCCAAUCUACUUACUCUGUUGGAUAGAAUUAUGGACGGGCUUGAGAAUAUGGAUUUGAUUUUCUGGGAGUUUUAGAGUCAGUGAAUGACAGUGCGAGCAGACUAGCACAUAUAAUGUUAUCUAAGUGUGUUUGUUUUCCAAGUAGAUGUUGAGCAACUCCAUGGGGCUUGUCUGUCCUUUCUCACGUUUCCUCAGGUGUAGAACAUAUUCAUUAAAUAUAAGCUGAAUGAACAGUGAGCUUUUUAAAUUGUAUUUUUGCAGGUUUUAUUCAGGUGAGAAAUACUGUGUCUGUCACUAGACCUUUUUUCAACUUUCUGGCUAAAUGACUUUUGUGCCAGUGAUACCAGAGUCCUACAGCCAUGUUCUCGCGGAGUUCGAUUCUCUGGAUCCAUUAUUCUCAGCCCUGAGGCUCGACUCCAGUCGUCUGAAGUGCACGAGCGUAGCUGUGUCUCGGAAAUGGCUGGCAUUGGGCAGUUCAGGAGGAGGACUCAAUCUCAUUCAAAAAGAAGGCUGGAAGCAGAGGCUUUUCCUUUCACACAAGGAAGGUGCAAUUUCUCAGGUUGCCUGUUGCUUACACGAUGAUGAUUAUGUUGCUGUAGCUACCAGUCAAGGUAUUGUAGUUGUUUGGGAAUUAAAUCAAGAGCGUCGUGGGAAACCAGAACGAAUUUAUGUGUCUUCAGAACACAAAGGCCGAAAAGUAACAGCUAUCUGUUGGGAUACAGCUAUUCUUAGAGUUUUUGUAGGUGAUCAUGUGGGGAAAGUUUCUGCCAUCAAACUCAACACUUCUAAACAAGCAAAGGCAGCUGCUGCCUUUGUGAUGUUUCCUGUUCAGACAAUAACAACAAUUGAUUCCUGUAUUGUCCAGUUAGAUUAUUUGGAUGGAAGACUGCUUGUGUCUUCACUUACUCGAUCUUUCUUGUGUGACACUGAGAGAGAGAAGUUUUGGAAAAUUGGAAACAAGGAAAGAGAUGGAGAAUAUGGAGCUUGUUUUUUCCCUGGAAGAUGUUCUGGAGGCCAGCAACCCCUGAUCUACUGUGCUCGCCCUGGCUCCAGGAUGUGGGAAGUGAACUUUGAUGGGGAAGUUUUAAGUACACAUCAGUUCAAGAAACUCCUCUCGUCACCACCUCUCCCUGUGAUUAAUCUAAGAUCAGAACCUCAGUAUGAUCAGACAGUUGGAUCCUCCCAGUCUUUGUCUUUCCCCAAACUCUUGCAUCUUAGUGAGCAUUGUGUGCUGACUUGGACAGAGAGAGGCAUUUAUAUUUUCAUUCCUCAGAAUGUUCAAGUUCUUCUUUGGAGUGAAAUCAAAAAUAUUCAGGAUGUGGCUGUCUGCAAGAAUGAGCUGUUCUGUUUGCACUUAAAUGGGAAGGUCUCACAUCUUUCCCUGUUAUCUGUGGAACGUUGUGUGGAACACCUCCUAAGGAGAGGCCUAUGGAACCUGGCUGCUCGUACUUGCUGUCUUUUUCAAAAUUCUGUCAUUGCCAGCAGAGCAAGAAAAAGUUUGACUAUUGAUAAAUUGGAGCAUUUGAAAUCUCAGCUGGAUCCCUCAAGCUGCAGUGAUCUAAUUUCUCAGCUGGAAGAAUUGAUCUUAAAAUUUGAACCUUUGGAUUCAGCUUGCAGCAGUAGAAGAAGCUCCAUUUCAUCACAUGAAAGUUUCAGCAUCUUGGACUCUGGUAUCUAUCGUAUCAUUAGUAGUAGAAGAGGCAGUCAGUCAGAUGAAGACUCUUGUUCCCUUCAGAGCCAAACCCUCUCAGAAGAUGAGAGACUUAAAGAAUUCACCUCACAUCAGGACGAGGACCAGCCAGAGCAGUGUUGUGGCUCACACGGAAAUGAAGUGACGUUUGAGGCAGAUAAGAAUGAAAGUUUCCUCCCCUUCGGCAUCCCAUUAUCAUUUCGUUCUCCAUCUCCUCUCGUGUCUCUUCAAGCUGUCAAGGAAAGUGUUUCUAGCUUUGUGCGUAAAACUACUGAGAAGAUUGGCACACUUCACACAAGCCCUGAUCUGAAAGUGAGACCAGAACCCAGGGAUGAUGAGCAGUCAUGUGAAGAGGAUAUGAGUCCAGUCACCUGCCCAAAAGAGGAAGACACUGUGGGAAAAAAAGAGCUAACUAGUCAACUUCCAAAACAAGACUGGUUCCAAGAGCUCAAAGUAGCAACAACAGAAGCAAUGACCAUGCUGCAGGACCCACUGGUUUUAUUUGAACCCAAGUCUCUGAGAAUGGUUUUACAGGAGUGGCUUUUACAGUUAGAAAAAACUUUAGCCAUGAAGGACUUUUCGGGCAUUUCAGAUACCAGCAACUCAUCUGUGAAAUCCGACCAGGAUGUGGUAUUGCUUGAUGAGUCAAUAAAGGGAAUAUUAGAUGAUGAUAGUGAAAAAGAAAAAAGGGACUCUUUAGACAAUGAAGAAACUGUUGCUCAAGCAGAACAUGAGUCUGUAGAUAGUCUGAGGGAGCCCUCAGAUGACAUUUUCCAAGUAUGUUCUCCAUGUGUCAUAGCAAAUGGCCUUCGCAAGGACCUGGCUGAAUUGACAACGUUGUGUUUGGAGUUGAAUGUAUUGAAUUCUAAGAUCAAAUGUACAAAUGGACACUUGGACCACACUUUGCAACAGUGCUGUCCUGAAAUUCUGGCUUGUCAGUUCCUAAAGAAGUACUUUUUUCUCCUGGACUUGAAAAGAGCAAAGGAGAGUAUCAAGCUUAGUUAUGCUAGCAGCCCUUGUGUUUGGGAUACUUUUAUUGAAGGAUUGAAAGAAAUGGCAAGUUCCAAUCCUACGUAUGUGGCCAUGGAAGAAGGAGACCUACCAACAAGACUGAAGUUACUAGAUGACUCAGUCCCUUUUGAUAGUCCUUUGUUGAUUGCGUAUGCUACCCGGUUGUAUGAGAAGUUUGGGGAAUCUGCCCUUCGGUCCUUAAUCAGAUUUUACCCGUCCAUUUUGCCUUCGGAUAUCAUACAACUUUGUCAUAAUCAUCCCGCUCAAUUUUUGGCCUAUUUAGACAGUCUGGUAAAAUCAAGACCUGAAGAUCAAAGGCCAUCUUUCCUUGAGUCCCUUCUACAGCCAGAAUCUUUAAGAUUGGAUUGGCUGCAUUUGGCAGUGUCCCACGGUGCUCCACCAAGCACAAGCACUGUGGAUAAUGAAGGAUACCCCAGGCCACAUUCACACUUACUUUCCUGGGCGUACAGUCAGCUGAUUCUUCAUCUAAUUAAACUUCCUGCAGAUUUUACAACCAAAGAAAAAAUGACUGACAUCUGUAGGUCUUGUGGUUUCUGGACUGGAUAUCUUACUCUCUGUUUGGAGCUGGAGAGAAGAAGAGAGGCCUUCACUAACAUUGUGCAUCUGAACGAUAUGAGUCUGAUGGAAGGGGACAAUGGAAAAACAGAAAAUUUAGGGAAGAAUAAAGAGAAUAAAUAUCACCUAAAAUCCUCCCGUCAGAUGAAAGUUGGAUCCCUGAGACUAUGGAGGAAUGGAAGCUUCUCUUACAUCUUGUACAGAACAAGAGCACCAGGCCAGCCCUCCAGGAGUCACCAAAUGGGAACCUCAGUGAUGGGCCUUCUCCCAUCAAUGUGGAGAAUGUGGCGCUCCUGUUAGCUAAGGCUAUGGGCCCAGAUCAGGCCUGGUCUCUGCUACAGGAAUGUGGUUUGGCUCUUGAGUUGUCAGAGAGGUUUACCAGAACCUGCAAUAUCCUGAGGAUUGCUGAGAAGAGGCAGAGAGCCUUGAUACAAAGCAUGCUUGAAAAAUGUGAUCGGUUUUUUUGGGCCCAGCAGGCCUAGUGGAAGAAGAUUUGGUACACUGUCGUGACAAUUCAACGAAAUGGAAAGAACUUUCUGAGUGUAUUUGUUAUUGAAGGAAAAGCACCACCUGAAAACUCUAACCUUGUUUGGGGUACUUUUGUCAGUGCCUUUCACCUCAGCAUUUGUGUAUGUGUCUGUGAUCCCACUACUUCUCAACCAAAGCUGGAUUUUGAAAGGAGUCAGAGCUUGUUUGCUGAAAUGAAGUGCUCAGGGAUCAGAAUGUGAACAUUCCCAGCUGUGCACUCCUUAUUCUGAACUGCAGUAUUAUUUGCUCCUUGCCACUGGAUUGGUGAAUUAUUUUCCUACUCUGGCUCCUAUGUUGGGAACAGAAGUUUCUAGUCCUGACCGGAGUGGAAUUCUUUUUAUAUCUUGUCUGGGGUGAUCUAGGAAUUACUGGAAUAGAACCUGUUAUAAUGGAAUUAACGCAUAAAAUAAAUGAAAUACUGAAGAUUUAAAUUAGAUAUUUAAAUAAAAUGGCUUCAUACCUAAAUUGAGCUAAUUUUAAAAUAAAUUUUUCCCAGUACUUAUUUGAUAUUUUGUAACCUGAACCUAUAUGCAGGUGACUAAUUUAUUACUGGAAAUGUUUUGUAUUUAAUUGUCCCUAAAUAGAGUAGCCUGACUAAUCAUUGUGCACUUUUAAGUAUUAUUUUUUAAAAGCCAUAAUAAAACCUGAGUACUAAUAAAGACUUCAGCAAAUGCUUUUAUUAUUUAAGCUAUAUAACUAGAUGAAUGUAAAUGUAAAAAUCUGAUUAAAGUUUUCAUUUGACCAGAAUUUAGCCCUGAGAAGGUUUAUUCUGAGCAAUUCACAGGAAGGCAUGGAGUAAACUCAGUGUGGAGUAAGCAAAGUGUUGGAUACAUUGAGUGAUGCAAAGAACUAUAGACCAAAAAUGCUAUCAUACCUGCACAUGACGCCUGAGUAUGAUGCAACCAGAUGGACUCAAGAGAUUAUCAGGGAAGAAAGCUUCACAAAGCUUAGAAUUUUGGGAAGUGUGGAAAGCCUUUCCGCUAAGAUCAACUGGAUGUUGACUAUACUGAUUUGUGUUGAAUGUGAGACUGUACUAAGGUGAAGGGCGAGAGCCUUCUGCUCGCUGUGUGUCAGCUUUAGUCAUUACAUAGUGACUGCCCAAAAGUGCCCAUGGAGAAUCUCAUGACAAGGAGACAGCCAGAACUGGCAUGAUUGUGCAAUCAUUUCCUGUCAGACCUUCCCAGGGCAUAUUCUAGCAAUCCUCAUUUGCCAAAAGGCUACAGAGAAAUUUCUAGCAUUAAAAAAAAAUUUUUUUUAAUCACAUCAUCUAGACUUAUUUUCCAAGGUAAACAAACAAAACAAGAAAAUCCUCUUCGGUUAUGCAUUUAAAUUUGAUCUGUUUGGGUAUUAG